CCCGGGCCUUGUACACCACCGCCCGUCACACCACGAAAGUCGGUAACACCCGAAGCCGGUGGGCUAACCCCUCGUGGGAGGCAGCCGUCGAAGGUGGGAUCGAUGAUUGGGGUG
This 114-nucleotide ribosomal RNA is filed under the name uncultured bacterium. RNAcentral's name for it is "partial 16S ribosomal RNA". It matches the Rfam family "Bacterial small subunit ribosomal RNA", at positions 1373 to 1482 of the family's 1533-position model. The record is from RNAcentral.